This 1444-nucleotide ribosomal RNA is filed under the name metagenome. RNAcentral describes it as "bacterial SSU rRNA". It matches the Rfam family "Bacterial small subunit ribosomal RNA". The record is from RNAcentral.
AGAGUUUGAUCCUGGCUCAGGAUGAACGCUGGCGGCGUGCUUAACACAUGCAAGUCGAACGAACCUUCGGGUUAGUGGCGGACGGGUGAGUAACGCGUGAGAAUCUGCCCUCAGGAGGGGGAUAACGGCUGGAAACGGCCGCUAAUACCCCAUAUGCCGAGAGGUGAAAUGAAUUUCGCCUGAGGAUGAGCUCGCGUCUGAUUAGCUAGUUGGUGUGGUAAAGGCUCACCAAGGCAUCGAUCAGUAGCUGGUCUGAGAGGAUGAUCAGCCACACUGGGACUGAGACACGGCCCAGACUCCUACGGGAGGCAGCAGUGGGGAAUUUUCCGCAAUGGGCGCAAGCCUGACGGAGCAACGCCGCGUGAGGGAUGAAGGCCUCUGGGCUGUAAACCUCUUUUAUCAAGGAAGAAGAUCUGACGGUACUUGAUGAAUAAGCCACGGCUAAUUCCGUGCCAGCAGCCGCGGUAAUACGGGAGUGGCAAGCGUUAUCCGGAAUUAUUGGGCGUAAAGCGUCCGCAGGCGGUCUUGAAAGUCUGUUGUUAAAGCGUGGAGCUCAACUCCAUUUCAGCAAUGGAAACUAGAAGACUAGAGUGUGGUAGGGGCAGAGGGAAUUCCCGGUGUAGCGGUGAAAUGCGUAGAUAUCGGGAAGAACACCAGUGGCGAAGGCGCUCUGCUGGGCCAUAACUGACGCUCAUGGACGAAAGCCAGGGGAGCGAAAGGGAUUAGAUACCCCUGUAGUCCUGGCCGUAAACGAUGAACACUAGGUGUCGGGGGAAUCGACCCCCUCGGUGUCGUAGCCAACGCGUUAAGUGUUCCGCCUGGGGAGUACGCACGCAAGUGUGAAACUCAAAGGAAUUGACGGGGGCCCGCACAAGCGGUGGAGUAUGUGGUUUAAUUCGAUGCAACGCGAAGAACCUUACCAGGGUUUGACAUCCUGCGAAUCCCUUGGAAACUUGGGAGUGCCUUCGGGAGCGCAGUGACAGGUGGUGCAUGGCUGUCGUCAGCUCGUGUCGUGAGAUGUUGGGUUAAGUCCCGCAACGAGCGCAACCCACGUUUUUAGUUGCCAGCAUUAAGUUGGGCACUCUAGAGGGACUGCCGGUGAUAAACCGGAGGAAGGUGUGGAUGACGUCAAGUCAUCAUGCCCCUUACAUCCUGGGCUACACACGUACUACAAUGCUACGGACAAAGGGCAGCAAACUCGCGAGAGCUAGCAAAUCCCAUAAACCGUGGCUCAGUUCAGAUCGUAGGCUGCAACUCGCCUACGUGAAGGAGGAAUCGCUAGUAAUCGCAGGUCAGCAUACAGCGGUGAAUACGUUCCCGGGCCUUGUACACACCGCCCGUCACACCAUGGAAGUUGGCCACGCCCGAAGUCGUUACUCCAACCCGCAAGGGAGGAGGAUGCCGAAGGUGGGGCUGAUGACUGGGGUGAAGUCGGAACAAGGUA